This 695-nucleotide long non-coding RNA is filed under the name Rattus norvegicus (Norway rat). RNAcentral's name for it is "long non-coding RNA NONRATT010876". The record is from RNAcentral. Lineage: Eukaryota; Metazoa; Chordata; Mammalia; Rodentia; Muridae.
AGAAUGCUGAGCUUAAAGGCCCAUGCUGCCACAGCUGACUUUUUUUUUUUUUUUGACUGUUUGUGGUUGCUCUACUAUGUGGGUCCCAGAGAUAUACUUGAAGCCGUCAGACACCUUCUACCUGCUGAGCCACCUCAAAGGCUCUUAUUCUCUUUCUCUCUCUCUCUCUCUCUCUCUCUCUCUCUCUCUCUCUCUCUCCCCCUCCUCCCUCCCUCCUCUCCCUCUCUCUCUUUGAAAUUACCUCAUGUUUGUGCUCCUUGUGUGUGUGCAUGUGUCCGUGGCAUGUAUGCACAUGUGUCCGUGCAUGAGGUGUGGUGCAUGUGGAGGUCAGAGGAUACCGCGCAGGCCCAGAUCUCUGCUCCUACUGUGUUCAGUCACAGGGACUAGACUCUGGCUCUGAUGCUUGACAGUGAGCGCCUUUGCCUGCUGAGCCAUCCGGCCAACCCUGCUCUCUUCUUUGAAGUUGAGCUAUCACAUACUUUUAGUUUUGUCAGGUUUUUGACGAAUUCAUCCGUGCAUACAAUACUCAGUGAUCAUACUCACCUCGUUGCCCCCCCCCCACUCCUGCUGGCCCCUUCUCAUUCCUAACCAAUUCCCUCUGCUCCUGUGUCUUGACUUUUUAUCACCACAUACUUCCCAUUCUGUUCCUGGAUACAGUGCCACAGAGAGACCCCUUCACGUGUACACCAGGAGAC